CCGCCGCCGCGCCGCGGGGCUCACCCGGCCAGCGGGCCCAGAGCAGAGAGGGGACUAUUUCCCGGCGGCGGCGGCGCAGGGAUCCCGGCGGGAGAUGUGGCGGCUCCGGUGGUGCCGCGGCGAGGGGCGGGAGGAGCCGCGGCCGCGCGGGGACCGAGCGGGAUCAGGAGGCGCAGGAGCGGGGCCUCGGAGAGGGGCCGAGGCCGGCGCCAGCCACCUCGGGGCCAGGGCCGGGUCCCGGCGGGGAAAGCCAGUGCUGUCACAUCGCUGAAAUCACAAGAUGUGUGAACCCGUGCUGGUAUUUCUUUCUAAAUUCAAAAAGUGAUCUAUUUCUUUACCUGUGAAGUGAAUUCUGAUGCGUUACCAAGUGCUGCGGUGUUACCAUCCAGUUUAUCUCAAAUAUUCACGUUUUAUGAGGUAUAAAAGGGCUGAGACAGGCUUCAGGCCGACACUCAGUUACGAUGUGACAGCAGUCUUGCUGCUUAAUCUGGAGAUGCAUUAUUAGUUUGGCUUGUUCUGUGCAAAUACAUUUAAUGUUCUUGUGGCUAUGUUUUAAUAUGUGUUAUAGGUAUUUUUAGUAAUGCCGUGGUAGUUUGUAAGUCUGAUUUCCAGAUGUAGGGAAAAAGUAUAAAUUUAAAUUGCUGUAUAUUAAAUUAAAGUCUCACGUUCCAGCUAAGUGUGUCUGACACGAUCCAUUACCCUUUGUCAUAUCUCAACAAUUCUUCCCAAACUUUGCCCUGGUGGCUGUCUACCCCAAGCUAGUUGGUUAAUUGAUUGAUUGAUUGAUUGAUUGAGGAGUGCUAGUGGAAAUAGUGCAGCUGCUUUCUUAGGGUGAGAUAAAGGGGAGAUGACUACUUGUGUCCAUGCUUAUGGCUACUGAGUGUUCAUAGUGCCUUAUAGUGGGAUUGUAACAUGAUGUAGUUAGUCGUGUUUGCUGUUUCUUGAUACUUGCCUUGAAAGAAUUCCAUUAUGAUCAAGUUAGAUACUUUUGAAAAACCUUUGGUGUAUGUAUGCUUCCUAGAAUGUGUCAGGAAGAUAUUGUCAAGACUUUUCCUCCUUUGGGAAUUUUGUGUCUUUGAAGAACUGUUUUUGUGCCAGCUUUUGGCUUUCUGGCUAUCAAAAAUGCAAGUAAACAAGCUGUGACUCCUUUAUGCUUGCUGUUUUUCAAGAGCUCGAGAGAAAGAUUAGCAAGGACAAGGUGGGAGCAGCGAUGGUUGACUGCCUGCAAGUGCCUCAACAAUUGAGGAUUUGCAGUCUCACAGUUUGACAUACACAAAAAAACUCAAAAUAAGAAACCACUGAGAUGCCAGAGCCACAGGAAAAUCUUGAACCAGUGUUUGUAUUUUUAAGGCAUGAAAUUUACGAAAAGCACAAAAUCGUUAUGAAAAUUGCAGGAAAUUGGGAUUUGUUGUUUUAGUUCUCCUAAGGCAGUCUAUUGGAAGCUUUUAUCUUUAUUUUCUACAGAUGUGAAAUUUGGGCAUACAUGUGGCACUACGACUGUAUUUGUCUGACAGUUCUUAACUACUGAUAAAAGCGGCUGGAAGUUUUAGUAAGCUGUUACAGCUUUCAGGAAUGUUAAGUUCUUACAGGUGUCAUGAAAGUAACCACCUGAAAGGAAGAAGGAUUCCUUGUAGCACGGUUUGGAGGAGAAUUGUCAGAAGAGCUUGACCUUUUCUUUUUCUGUUAUUUGCAUGGCUGCUGAUGAAGCUGCAUUUUGGAGGUUACAAUAAAGGGGGCAUAAGUUCACUUAGUCAAGCACUUAGAUAUUAGCAGAUCCAUAUAAUGAUUUUUUUCCCCCCAUGCAGUCUGGAAGUUGGCUUGCUUUGGGCUCUUUCUUCUCGUGGAUUCUCGUCUUAUCCUUCUCUUGUCUUCUGUUUUAAUUUUUUGGUUGUUUUUUUAUCCCUCUCUCCACAGUUGUUCUGUCAGGUUCAGUAUACGGGUGCUUCUGGAUUACAAGUGACAUGACAAUCAAAUAGUUGUUUGUGAGAUUGGUCCUGCAUUUGUUAUAGAAACUAUGCAUAAGAAAUUAUCCUAGAUUAAUGUUAGCAUAUAGAAUCACAGCAUGGGUUGGGUUGGAAGGGACCUUGAAGAUCAUCUAGUUCCAAACCCUUGCCAAGGGCAAGGAUGCCACUCACUAGAUCAGGUUUUUCAGAGCCCCAUACAACCUGGCCUUGCACAGGGAUGGGGCAUCCACAAUCUCUCCUUGCUUUAUAUUGUCUCCUUUCUUCUUUAUAUCCUUCCUUCACUGUGUCCCUAUUUGUAAUUUUUAUUUCCGGACAUGUUCCCCAGAGGGCAGCAAAGUAACCAGUGCCUUCAGAAGGUGCACAGUCUAAAGAUUCUCUUUAUGAGCCUGUCAGUUUUUCAUUCUUGGAGAUUAUGCCUUUCUUCUUAAAACGUGUUUCCCAAGUCAUAGUUUCAGGGGGAGGGUUUGUAUUUGGUUAUACAAAGUGGAUUGCAACAGAGAGGAAGGGAAUUAGGGAAUGGACAAUUUGAAGGCAAGGUGAAACAGUUGCUUCUUCCCUUUUAGUGAAAUUGCUAAAAAGUAGAAACAGAAGCUCAAAAGGAAACAGCUUUCCCUAUCCAUUAAUUAACUUUUAUUGAAACCUGCACAGCUUCUGAGGAUGCUCCUGAGGCCUCUUGCAAUUUUUGUUGGUGUGGGUGCUUAGAAUUCAUUGCAAACCAGACUUUGAUUGGAGUGUGGACUCCUGCAUAUUAUUAUCUUAUGGUGAGGGUAAAUGAUGGUAUUAACUGUUGAGUGGUGAGCUAGGGGAAAGUAAAGACUCUUUAUUCAGAAGAAACUAAAUUCUUAAAACGAGGUUUUAACAUGCCUGUAUUACUAUAGAAUAAUUUAAGAUGGAAAUGACCUCUAAAAUUGAGUCCAACCAUUAACCCAGCACUGCCAAGUCUGUCACUAAACCACAUCCCCAAGUGCCACGUCCAUGCUUUUUUUAUAUACCGCCAGGGAUGGUGACUCCACUGCUUUCUUGAGCAGCCUGUUGCAAUGCUUGACAACUCUCUCUGUGAAGAAAGUUUUCCAAAUAUCCAAUCUAAACCUCUCCUGAUGCAACUGGAGGCUGUUUCCUUUCCUGUUACCUGUGAGAAGAGACCAAUCCCCACCUGGCUACAGCCUCCUUUCAGGCACUUGUAGACAGCCAUGAAUAUUCCUCUCAGCCUCCUUCUUUCCAGGCUUAACAACCCCAGCACACUCAGCUGCUCCUCAUAAAAUUCGUGCUCCAGACCUUCCACCAGCUUUGUUGCUCUUUGGAUGCUCUUCAUCACCCCUUGUAUGUUAUGCCCAUCUCAACUAUAAAUUUCUAACUCAUUAAAUUCUAGGUCAGGGAAAGUAUUGCAGAUCACAUGUUUGUCCUUUUUAUCUUAUGGUGACAGUUUCAUGCUUUCACUUUUUUUGGAAAGAGCGUUUUGACAGUUUAGUGUCUUGGGAAUGUUGCCUUACACCAUUUAAAAUCAGUGUCUUUAAAUAUUUUUAGAAACAGGUCAACAGAUUUGUGAUGCUUCUCCAGAAAAAUUUUGGAUAGAUGAUGUGUGUUGUGUGAAACCGAAAGAAAACAGGAUGACCAUGGAAACCUUUUGGCAAUAUCCAGCCUGGACACUUGUGCUUUAAUGUGAAGGUCUAUAAUUGUUCCAUAAAGAAAAGUAAGCUCUUUGUCGUCAUAAACACAUUAAGAAAAGCAUGCCUAGGAUCAAGGUAAUUUCAGAUCAAUUACACUGCUUGGAGUCUAUUCACGCCUCUGCUGGAAAAUAUAUAGGUGUCAUCCAUCAAGUCCUGUGUUUCUUUUAUAUUAAACGUAACUAGGCCUGCUGGGUGGUAAGUGGGAGGCUUAGAGUGGACAGGGUGAGAUUUAUUAGUUCUUUUACACUGAUGGUUGUUGCUGUGUUUCAUUCAACGUUCUUGAAUUUUUCAAGGACUUCACAUUUUAGUGGAACCAGUGGAAUGGUGGAUUUUCUACAGCUCUAGAAAAUCAGGUCUUCAGUCUCAACCUAGCACUUACUAGUGCCGCUUUUGAAUUCUAGUCUUAAUGUUUUAAGGCAGAAAUUAGUAAAAAAUGUGUUCUAUAACUGGCUAUUAAAAUGAAAUAGCAAAGAAUUUGCUGUCUUUCUACUGUUAAUAUCCCCCAACUGAGAUUUUUUUUCUUUGUUUUCUUUCUUUUUGUAGUGCUCUCUUCCAGUUAAAGGUUUCAAGAGUUAUCUGCUUUCCGGAUCUGAAUGGAAUUCUUCUGCAUCAGAACUGUUGGUAACUUAUUCUUGGGAGAUGAAGAAAGUCAUGUUGCAGUUCCUUUGAGAAGCUUAAGGACUUCAGCAGUGGUAGACAUUUUUUCUUAUUUAAAGGCCUGUCACCAGGAGGGACAGCUGUUCCUGCUCAGCCCUUUCAAUAUCAUUGUUUCAUUUCUCUUCAGUUAAUCUAAAUAUCUGGUUGCCUGUUGCUGUGCUAACUUGAAGAGGUGACCAUUUGCAAAAUAUUUUGUUGUUUCUUAGAAGUUCCUGUGUUAUGGAGCUGUGCUGGAUUUUGAAGAUUUAUGCUCCUCAGUUGUUUGGCUACUUCUGCUUUUCCUUCCCACUGUCAAAGAAUGCAACAAAGUUUUGUCUACACAGAAAGCAGUAAUGCAUGUGAGUAAUGUGAGUAAUGCAGCACGUUAACAUUACUAAGUGGGAACUAUGUAAUGAAAUGCUAUACUCAGAAAGAAUAUGAAAUAAAGUGGCAAGAGUUUAGUCUGGUUUUUUUCCCUUCUCUAUUCUAGGUGGGUUUUUUGUUUUGGAGGAGAGGUUGAUUUCUGGCUGUUGAUAAACCUUCCAUAACUGAAAAGUACAAGGAACUGGUAUGGUAAAGUCUUAAGGUAAGAAACAUUACAGAAUAUGUGACUUCAAAGCAGGACUUCUGAGUACAUGUAAGGCAAAACCUAUAACAUAUAAGCUCUGUGCAAGAACUUUAUUCACUGUGCUGAGGAUAGUUUUAUGUAGUUAUAUGCUGGGUACACUUUAAGGUGUGUUUCUUGGAGGCUGCUUGGAAAGAAGCACUAGCCAUGCUUUUACCACUGUCAGCCUCACAGGUGGGAUGCUUCUGUCCAGAAAACAAACAAUGAGACUUUUAAGACUGUUGGACUUUUUAAAUUUACCAAAGAGUAUAAUCUGGGGAGUCUGACUCAGUGUUAUUUGGGAAUUUUUUGUAUUAUUACAUUCUUGGAAAAUGCUGUAUAGUAGAAUACAAAGAGAAAAAAAAAAUAGAAAAAAAAGAGGACCUGCUAACUAGCACAAUAUAGAAUUAAAAAUGGCUUUUAAAAAUAUUGUUAUAUUAGAGACUACUAGACAACAGUUGAGAGAUAAAGAUGCAAUUAGUAACAAUACAGUAAUUCAGCCUUCAGAGCUCCUUGCUACUUGACAAAAAACAAUCACCCAGAACUAUGGGUUCCUAGGUUUAUUGUGGACAGGGCAUGCAGAUAAAAUUAUUUGUUACAAUUACUUAGCAGGGCCCUGCAUUCUGCUAGAAUUCAAGCAAACUGUAUCUGAACUGCUUCUUUUUGCCUUGUUUUAUAUUGAUCAAGAGACACAGAAAAAAUGAGGCCAGGAAAAUAUGCAAUAGAUGUGAUAAUUAAAAAAAAUCCCACCAAACCUGGAACCAAAGAAACUAUGGGUAUUUUCUGUCCCUUCUCUGAGUAACACCACCAGUGGGUCACUGCCUCUGCUCUGAGGCAGGGAGAGGCUGUGGCCAUGCCAGGACAGGGUUGAGACAAGAGGAUUGAGUAGACACAGCUGCAGUGAGGAGAAGGGUGAUAGUAGCUGUUGUCCCAAACAAGAUGUGUGGUGACUUUAUGUUGGGUUCUAGGAGUUUUAUUUUUUCCCUCCCUUACUCUGGAAAUCCAGGAUGCUUCCUCCUGUUAAAAUAAAUGGAGAUGGACAUGCUGUCCAAAUGGGGAAAAAAUUUCUAUGCCCUUUUGAGGUGUUCUUUAAGAAGGAACAGUUCCUCCCUGUUAGCCCACACUCCAAAUGUUAGAUGUAUAAAUAAAAACUGGCUGUGUACUCCCUCAUCAGUUUUAUUUUGAGAUUUUUUUUUUCUUACUUUCAGAACAGUGGAUUUUCUUAGUUAUUUUUCCAUAAUUGUUACCCAUGAAAACUCUGGAGGAAAUUCAGUAAUUCCAAAACUAGAAAAGUGUUAAUAUUUAUUGUUUGACAAAUUUGUUAUGGCUGCUUAGAAAUGCUAACAUACCUCGGUUCCUAGGUCUGCAGUCUGCUGUGCAACUGGAUAUUUCUUUGAGUUUAUUUCAGACUCCAGAAAUAAUUGGACCUUUAGGAACCUCAGGCUGAACUUGACGAGUAUCUCAAGACAGUAUAGAAAUAGAUGGAACAGUUUCAGUAAGAUGCACAGAUAUCUUCUCAAAUUCUUUCCUUUUGAUGGACACAUGUGAUUGUUAAACUACUGACUUGCCUUAGUUUUAAGGACCUUUGUUUUUCAUUGCUUUUCCCACGAGAUAACAAAUAAGGUUAAUCACAAGCAACUAAGUAUUCAUGGAUGUUAUUACUUAACAGGAGGUCUUUGCCUGCAUUCCUCUGGGGGUAAGAAUUUGUACAAUAAUGACUGCUUCAUUGAUUUUAAUGUAAAAAGAAAUAAAGUUAUAAUUGUUUCUCCAUCUUAGUUGUAAUUCAGAUUUCUUUUUUUUUUGUUUAGUAUCUGUAUGGCAGUGUAACUUGUGUAGUACCUUCUGUAAUUUGUUAUUCUAUCAAUUAAUGUAUUAUAUUUUGACAGUUUAUCAAAAGCUGUAUGGUAAUAUACAAAUUGAACUCAAUUUAAAGAUCGAAUACUCUUUUUGUUUUUAGGGUUGGUGGUAGUUUGUUAUAACUGUGUUAUAAUUCUUGGUUUUGAUAGUUUAUUUUUUACAAAGACCAAAAGGAAGUUUGCAAAACAGAGAAGAAAUCAAAAAGACCUUAAAUAAAUCAGUUAUUUUCAAUAUAAACCAGCUAAAUUCGUAGCCUAUGAGAUGUCCCUAACUACCAUGUUUCUUUACCCAUUUGAUGCUGUGACCGUGAAAUGAGAAGUCCCAAAGUACUGGCAAAAUCUAACAGCAGAAGCCUUGUGCAACUUUGGAAGAACUGGGUUUGUCCAGACUGCGAGGCAGCAAGAGCUGACAGAUGAGCAUUAUAGCAACUUUUCAUGCAUUUGAAAACUUGCAAAAGGGUUGGUGAUUUUUGUGACUGCAGAAGGAAGAGUUUUUACUGGCUUCAAAGACCAGAUGACUUAGUGGCAUUUUAGGAAAAGCUUUCUCACAAGAUAUGUUAGACGUUGGAACAGAUUGCCGAGAGACUCUAAUGGCUGACAAAGGGAAAGUUUUUAAAGUUACCUUAGUGUCUCUCAACGGUGAACCAUGUGAUAAAGUGCAAGAAGUGAGCUCUGUCCAAUUCCAGUGUUUUUAUUUUAUAAAUGCUGUGGUGUUAAAUGACCUUCCCAUAAGUUAAUUCUUGGAGCUGAUGUUUUCAAGGUAUUUGCGUGUAUGAACGCUGGAAGUUGACAGUCAUGUUAUUAAAUGGUUUGAUAUAAACACAGGCUGCUGCCAAAGAGGGACAUGCCUUAGCUGCCCUUUUCUGGCUGGUUUUCAAUUCAGUGGGGUGACAAAUAUGCACAGCUUAGAUGUGCAUAUUUGAUGAAGGCAAAUCUAUCCCUUUUGCAGCAGCAGCUGCUCAGUGUGACCAUGGAACAGGAGCUCAAGGCUCUGCAGCCAAGGGAUGGUCACUUAUGGGAUGAUUGAUACUUCAUGUCCUGACCUAGGGCCUUGUUCAGGAAAGAACACGCUGAAAGAGCGGCAUAAUGCAAGACAGCUGAAUGUUUUCUAUAGCAAGCUAUCUCCUUUUCCAUUAAUCUUAAAUGGAAGUGUUAGAUAUUUAGUUCUGUCCAGUAGGCUUUAGCAAACAUGCAAAUUAAGCAACUCCAGCUUUCAAGUUUCAAAAAAAAAUUAUAGCUGGAGAGAGGUAACUCACUAGUAAUGAAGUCGGACAGAGUACAUGUCCUGCUUCAAGUGGGGCUUUACCUCCAGCUCUGUAUCAUUUGCAAAAUUUAACAGUGAUGAUGAGAAAAUUAGUAUAGAAUUCAAAAUCAUCACAGUAAGACAUUAUCACAAUGUCCCUUUGCUCUAGUGGUGAAAAAUCCAUACCGUCAGCAAGAAUCAUAUUUUGCAGGGGGGAGAAAGUCCAAAGAAGGUAGAAGAUCCAGGAGAAAUCUUUCAUUUGUUAUUGGGUCCAGCAGAGAUGGAGCUCAUUUUCCCCCCAGCAGCCCCCAGAGCUGUGCUGUGCAUUGGCAGCUGUAAAGGUGCCCAUAAGACAGCAGUGUUUUGGCUGCUGCUGAGCAGCACUGGCACGGUGUCAGCGCUGUCACUCCAGCAUCUUCUCCUCACCAGGAGGGUGGGGGUGGGCAAAAUCUUGGGAUGGAACACAACCAGGACAGCUGACCCACUGACUGAAGGGAUAUUUCAUACCAUGUGAUGCCUGCUCAGAUACAGAAGCUAAGGAAAAGGAGUAGGGAGGGGGGACAUUUGUUAUUUACAGUGUUUAUCCUCUGGGGCAACCACUGUGUGCUGAAGCCCGCCUCCUGGGAAGUGGCAAGACACCACUCACUGAU
Molecule: long non-coding RNA, 8620 nt
Organism: Pyrgilauda ruficollis (rufous-necked snowfinch)
Lineage: Eukaryota; Metazoa; Chordata; Aves; Passeriformes; Passeridae
Exons: 5
Source: RefSeq, a predicted model, not a curated record